Molecule: long non-coding RNA, 581 nt
Organism: Quercus robur (English oak)
Lineage: Eukaryota; Viridiplantae; Streptophyta; Magnoliopsida; Fagales; Fagaceae
Exons: 4
Source: RefSeq, a predicted model, not a curated record
AACCCUAAAAGUCUAAAAGCAGCCGUGCUCUCUGCCUCUCCAAGCCAUUCUCUCUGUAUCCCUGAUGACCAUAGCCAUCUCUCCCACCCAUAACUGAGUCGUUACCCAUCAUAGCCAUCACAAAAUCUCCAAUGUCGCAGGCCAAGUUAAGCAGAAACCCAUUGAAGGUUAAGAAGAAAGAACAGAGUAGCCUUGCACCAUCGGUCUGCCAGUAAAAUCACUAUGAAACCCAACGAAGGUUAAGGAGAAAGAACAGAGUAGCCUUGCACUACUGGUCUGCUAGCAAAAUCACUACGGGUUCUAAACUGAUCAUUAACAUAAAUGUGCUAACGGUUUUGCUUUUGUUGGAGGAUUAUUAGCAAGUCCACAAAAUCAGGUAAAGGUAAAGGCAAAGGAAUAGAAGUGAGCACACCAAAUGAACAUACAUGGAUUUGGGUGUACAUGGCAUAUGAUUUAAGAAAUUGUAUAUUAAUUGCAUACAUAAUGCUACCUUCAGCAAAAUUAAUCAAAUAAUGUAGUAUGAAGUCCCAUAAAAUUGUGCCACUUCUUUUCUUAGGUUAUUAUAAGCAAGAUUCCAACCA